Molecule: ribosomal RNA, 976 nt
Filed under: human gut metagenome
Description: bacterial LSU rRNA
Rfam family: Bacterial large subunit ribosomal RNA
Source: RNAcentral
AGGUAGCGAAAUUCCUUGUCGGGUAAGUUCCGACCUGCACGAAUGGCGUAACGAUGGCCACACUGUCUCCUCCCGAGACUCAGCGAAGUUGAAAUGGUUGUGAUGAUGCAAUCUACCCGCGGCUAGACGGAAAGACCCCAUGAACCUUUACUGUAGCUUUACAUUGGACUUUGAACCAAUCUGUGUAGGAUAGGUGGGAGGCUUUGAAGCGUGAACGCUAGUUUGCGUGGAGCCGACCUUGAAAUACCACCCUGGUUUGUUUGAGGUUCUAACCUUGGCCCGUUAUCCGGGUUGGGGACAGUGUAUGGUAGGCAGUUUGACUGGGGCGGUCUCCUCCAAAAGCGUAACGGAGGAGUUCGAAGGUACGCUAGGUACGGUCGGACAUCGUGCUAAUAGUGCAAUGGCAUAAGCGUGCUUAACUGCGAGACAGACAAGUCGAGCAGGUACGAAAGUAGGACAUAGUGAUCCGGUGGUUCUGUAUGGAAGGGCCAUCGCUCAACGGAUAAAAGGUACUCUGGGGAUAACAGGCUGAUUCCUCCCAAGAGUUCAUAUCGACGGGGGAGUUUGGCACCUCGAUGUCGGCUCAUCACAUCCUGGGGCUGUAGUCGGUCCCAAGGGUAUGGCUGUUCGCCAUUUAAAGUGGUACGUGAGCUGGGUUUAAAACGUCGUGAGACAGUUUGGUCCCUAUCUGCCGUGGGCGUUGGAAGUUUGAGAGGGGCUGCUCCUAGUACGAGAGGACCGGAGUGGACGAACCUCUGGUGUACCGGUUGUCACGCCAGUGGCAUCGCCGGGUAGCUAAGUUCGGGAAAGAUAACCGCUGAAAGCAUCUAAGCGGGAAACUUGCCUCAAGAUAAGACUUCCCGGAGCCUUGAGCUCCCUGAAGAGUCGUUCGAGACCAGGACGUUGAUAGGCUGGGUGUGGAAGCGCAGUAAUGCGUUAAGCUAACCAGUACUAAUUGCUCGUGAGGCUUGUCUCU